UCCCUGAAGGACUAGUGUUUUGGCCACUGCAGUCUCACUGCCAUGGCCCGGGUUCCAUUCUCGGCCAGGGAA
Non-coding RNA from Pangasius djambal, 72 nucleotides. NCBI's taxonomy places the organism in Eukaryota, Metazoa, Chordata, Actinopteri, Siluriformes, Pangasiidae. The record is from the annotation of a GenBank genome assembly.